GAUGAAGAACGUAGCGAAAUGCGAUACGUAGUGUGAAUUGCAGAAUUCAGUGAAUCAUCGAAUCUUUGAACGCACAUUGCACCUCUCGGUAUUCCGGGAGGUAUGCCUGUUCGAGCGUCAUUUGUACCCUCAAGCUCUGCUUGGUGUUGGGUGUUUGUUCCGCCUCUGUGUGUGAACUCGCCUCAAAACAAUUGGCAGCCGGCGUGCUUGUUUCGGAGCGCAGCACAUUUUGCGAUCCAGAUCAACGUACAGCGGCAUCCAAGAAGCCUUAUUUAACGCUCUUGACCUCGGAUCAGGUAGGGAUACCCGCUGAACUUAAGCAUAUCAAUAAGCGGAGGA
Molecule: unclassified non-coding RNA, 339 nt
Filed under: soil metagenome
Description: partial contains 5.8S ribosomal RNA, internal transcribed spacer 2, and large subunit ribosomal RNA
Rfam family: 5.8S ribosomal RNA (bases 1-120)
Source: RNAcentral